Molecule: ribosomal RNA, 253 nt
Filed under: uncultured bacterium
Lineage: Bacteria
Also listed under: 1 other name
Description: partial 16S ribosomal RNA
Rfam family: Bacterial small subunit ribosomal RNA
Source: RNAcentral
GACAGAGGGUGCAAACGUUGUUCGGAAUUACUGGGCGUAAAGCGCGUGUAGGCGGCAAGGCAAGUCGGAUGUGAAAGCCCACGGCUCAACCGUGGAAGUGCACCCGAAACUGCCUCGCUAGAGUCUCGGAGAGGAAGGUGGAAUGCUUGGUGUAGAGGUGAAAUUCGUAGAUAUCAAGCGGAACACCGGUGGCGAAGGCGGCCUUCUGGACGAUGACUGACGCUGAGACGCGAAAGCGUGGGGAGCAAACAGG